Molecule: microRNA, 23 nt
Filed under: Mus musculus (house mouse)
Lineage: Eukaryota; Metazoa; Chordata; Mammalia; Rodentia; Muridae
Description: mmu-miR-7670-3p
Source: miRBase by way of RNAcentral
UUCCCUUUCUGAAUAUCUGUAGA